GAUGAAGAACGUAGCGAAAUGCGAUAAGUAAUGUGAAUUGCAGAAUUCAGUGAAUCAUCGAAUGUUUGAACGCACAUUGCGCCCGCUAGUAUUCUGGCGGGCAUGCCUGUCCGAGCGUCAUUUCAACCCUCAAGCUCCCGGGCUUGGUGUUGGGGAUCGGCGAGCCUCCGCGCCCGCCGUCCCCUAAAUCUAGUGGCGGUCUCGCUGUAGCUUCCUCUGCGUAGUAGCACACCUCGCACUGGGAAACAGCGCGGCCACGCCGUUAAACCCCCAACUUCUGAACGUUUGACCUCGGAUCAGGUAGGAAUACCCGCUGAACUUAAGCAUAUCAAUAAGCGGAGGA
RNAcentral lists this unclassified non-coding RNA (343 nucleotides) under soil metagenome. RNAcentral describes it as "partial contains 5.8S ribosomal RNA, internal transcribed spacer 2, and large subunit ribosomal RNA". The stretch from base 1 to 120 matches the Rfam family "5.8S ribosomal RNA", at positions 35 to 154 of the family's 154-position model. The record is from RNAcentral.